Molecule: long non-coding RNA, 6794 nt
Filed under: Homo sapiens (human)
Lineage: Eukaryota; Metazoa; Chordata; Mammalia; Primates; Hominidae
Description: HSALNT0305400
Source: RNAcentral
AGUCUUACUCCCACUGUGCCCCCAGCAACAGCCCCAAGUGUGUUUCCAGGGGGAGGGGGAGACAGCCUUGAAAACUUGCCUGAGGCUUUCUCUGCCUCCCAGCUGCCAAAGACAAGGGCUUUAGAUCUUCUCCUGCCUGUGAAGUCUGCAAGCUGGAUUCGCACCCUCCCCUGAGUUCUGGUCAGGAGGCUUCUCACCCUGUUCAAAUUGUUACAAAGUUCAGCUAGAGAAUCCUUUCUCCCUGUGGAGUUUUGCCCCUGCUCCUCUGGCCACCUUCCUGAUGGAUUCCUGUGGUGCCAGCCAGGAGUGGGCUGCUUGGGGACCCAGCAAGCUCCCAGGGCCUUUCUGCUGCUUCCCCCACCCCUGUAUUUCACUUGGCUCAGCUCUCUAACUUGAUCAGCUCCAGGUAAAGUCAGAAACUUCUCCUGCAAACAGACCUUCAUCUUCUCCAGUGAGGGUGUGUGUUCAGGAGACGAGGGUCUCCCUUUUCCACUUACACGGCUGGGGCACUCGCAGUAUUUGGGGUGUCUACUGGGUCCUUCAGGAGCAGUCCACUUCCUUCAGAGGGUCUGUGGAUCCUCUCAGGAUUGCUGGUUUGUUCUUGCAGUUGAUAUGGAGCUAAAAUUCACAAUGCAAGCCUCUGCAUGCUGCUCUGUCUGGAGCAGAAAUCUAGUCCCGCCUCUCAUCCACCAUCGUUCCCCCCACCUCCAGAAAACUUUUCGAAUGAAUAAAUAAAUUCACAUAGUUGGAAGACACAAGAUGAACACACAAAAAUCAACCACAUUUCUAUAUACUAACAAUAAAUGGAAACCAAAUUAAAAGCAUAAUAGAACUGACAAUCACACCAAAUGUAGAAAGUAAAAAGUUUCCUCUUCAAAGUUUUCCUUCUUGUUGAAGAAUAAAUUGUGUGUUGGAAAUGAUGGUUUCUUUUGAGGACUAACUUUCUUCAAGCCUCCUUGCUUUGUGUUAAUAACUCUUUGUUAAGCCCUAGCCUAUGUAACUGUUGAAUGUGCUCACAGGCCCGUUCCAGCUCACAGCCUAUGCCCCUUCCUUAUUUGGAAAUGUUAUUGUUUCCUUAAAACUUUUGUAACCAACUUCUUUGCUCUUCCCUGUACUUACCUAUUUAGGAAAGUUGUAGGCUAUUAGCAAAUCGGAUAUCAGUUUAAGAUUGUGAGGUCCUGCUCCAGCCAACGGACAUAGGACACGCAGCAAGGACAACCCAAAUGUGUAAGGGAUAAAUAUGUCUGCUUUUCCUUUGUUCAAGUGUUCUCCUGCCAUUGUUCCAUCUGCAAUUGAGCACCCUUUCUGCAGAAAGUAAAGAUGGCCUUGCUGAGAGAUCUUUUGUCUCUGUGCUGACUUUCCUUUGUGGCACCAAUGAUGUAUUUCUAACAAUUUUGAUAUUUCUAACAAUUUUGGUGGCAAUCGUAUGGGGAUACAUUCUCCUCCGGGGGCAUCUCUAGUCCUCUUUCAUGAGGAGGCACCACACCACCUCUUGCGGUGGCCUCAGGGGUAAGGGACCAAGACCCACCUGGUGCGAGGAAUAACCCGAGCUCUCAGCAAUGCAGAAAGAAACUGGCCAGCAACCUAGCUUAAAGGAUCCUCACAUACUGCAGCGAUGACUUUGUGCACAGACCAAGGAAGGCAAAGCCACAGGAGCCGGUCUUUUAGCACAGAUGCCGCCCUUGGAGUUUCCAGUACAUCAGCAUCAGCCUGGGGAUCACAUUCUCAUCAAAGGAUAGAAAGAAGGGAAACUCGGGCCAGCCUUGGAAGGACCGUACCUUGUGCUGCUAACCAUCGAGACUGCUGUUCGUACAGCGGAAAGGGAUGGACACAUGACACCUGAGUCAAGCAAGUGCCAUUAUCCUCAGAAUCAUGGGCCAUUGUUCCUGGGUCAAGCCCUACCAAAUUAAAGCUAAGGAAAGCUUAGUCUAUCUUUUUCCUUUCCUUUCCUAACCCAGUGCUUAAAUCCAUUACUAUUCCUACCACCAGCAACUCUAACCCCACUGUAGGGCACUUCUGUGGUUUAGGAGCAGAAGUCACUGGAAAGGAUCCUAUAGGCUUCUUUAAGGUGCACUUUGUUCUCCCUCCUCUACCUCCUACAACUGCACCUUUCCCAAACCUACAAAAUCAAACUAUGACUCGCCUCAUGCCAAAUGACAAAAGCAAGGUCUCAGUAGUAGAAAUAGGAGACCUAUGGCAAACCAUAGCCAUUGAAACAGGGUAUAAAGAUGUAAAUGCCUGGUUAAAAUAGAUUAAAUAUUCUGUUUGCACUUUAAACAAAAGUGACUGCUACUCUUGUGUGCAAGGUAGGCCAGAGGCCCACGUUGUUGCCUUUCCACUAGCAUGGUCCUCAAAUCAAGGGGACAUGGAGUGCAUGGUAGCUCUUUUUCAAGAUUCCACCCCCUGGAAUAAAGAAUUGUGCCAAGCUCUUUUUCUGCUAUUUCCUGAAGUUCAACACCCUGCGGAUCAGCCUGCGAGGGCCAUCCAGCCUCCAUCUUCCAAAACCAAUUUUACCUCAUAUAUCCAAUGACAAGGGGAAAAAUCUGGCAUUCCUUGGAGACUUAACAGGAUGCAGUGAAGUCAGUCACUUCCAAGAGCUGACCCAUCAGUCCACCCUUAUUCAUACACCUGCCCUUAGCGGAUGUAUGGUGGUAUUAUGGAGGACCAUUACUGGACACUCUGCCAAAUAAUUGGAGCAAUACUUUUGCUCUAGUUCAAUUGCCUAUCCCUUUUACUCUAGUAUUUCAUCAACAAGAAACAAACAAACAAACAAACAAACAUAGCUUCAAUUCUUACCUCUUCAACAACUAUAAUAAGUAUACUCCUUCUUCUUAAGUAUUAUGUUGUACCAUACAUCCAAGAGUUAAUCAAAACAACUAAGCCAAGACAUGUUAAGCAAGUUUGAAGAGGAAAACUAAAAAGUAAAAGAGGAGGGAUUGUAGAAAGUAAAAAUUUCCUCUUCAAAGUUUUCCUUCUUGUUGAAGAAUAAAUUGUGAGUGUUGGAAAUGAUGGUUUCUUUUGAGGAAUAACUUUCUUCAAGCCUCUUGCUUUGCGUUAAUAACUCUUUGUUAAGCCCUAGCCUAUGUAACUGCUGAACAUGCUCACAGGCACGUUCCAGCUCACACCCUAUGCUCCUUCCUUAUUUGGAAAUGUUAUUGCUUCCUUAAACCUUUUGUAAGCAAUUUCUUUGUUCUUCCCUGUACUUAACUAUUAGGAAAGUUGUAGGCUAUUAGCAAAUCGGGUAUCAGUUUAAGAUUGUGAGGUCCUGCUCCAGCCAAUAGAUGCAGGACACAGCAGUAAGGAUGAACCAAAUGUGUAAGGGAUAAAUAUGUCUGCUUUUCUUUUGUUCAGGUGUGGUCUUGCCAUUGUUCCAUCUGUAAUUGAGCACCCUUUCUGCAGAAAGUAAAGAUGGCCUUGCUGAGAGAUCUUUUGUCUCUGUGCUAACUUUUCUUCCUGGCACCAAUUAUCUAUUUCUAACAAUUUUGGUAUUUCUAACACCAAAGAAAAUGGAAUAUUUAGAUAUAAAUCUAAUAAAACAUGUACAGGAUCUGUAUGCUGAAAUUUUUUUAAAAAUUUAGUUAAAAGAACCAAAGACCUAAGUAAAUGGAGAGAUGUGCAUGGAUUGUAAGUCUGCAAUAAUAAAGAUAUCAAUUCUCUCUACAUUUAUCUAUAGGUGUAACACAAUGCCUAUCAAAAUUUCAGCAAGAUCUUUUUGUAACCGUAGACAAGCUGACACUUAAAUUUAUAUGGAAAGGCAAAAACCCUAGAAUAGCUAAAGCAGUUUUGAAAAGAAGACUAAAAUUUGAGGAAUAACUCUAUUUGAUAAUAACGCUUACAAUAUAACUAUAGUAAUCAAAGCACUGUGGUAUUGGUAGAGGGAUAGUCACAUAGAUCACUGGAAUAGAAUAAAGAAUGCAGAAUGAGAUGCACACAAAUUUACCCAAGUUGUUUUUGACAAAGGUGUAAAAGCAAUUCAACAGGGAAAGGAUAGCCUUUCAACAAAUGGUGCUGGAAUGACUAUGUAUCCAUGGUCAACAAAAUGAAACAUAUGAAAACCUUGGCCUACACAUUAUACGUUAUACGAGAAUCAAUUCAAAAUGGAUCACGGGCAGGCAUGGUGGUAUGAGCCUCUAGUCCCAGCUACUUGGGAGGCUGAAGUGGGAAGAUCACAUGAGCCCAUGAGUUUGAGGCUGCAAUGCACUAUGAUCACACCUGUGAAUAGCCACUGCACACUCCAACUUGGGCAACAUAGUGAGAUCUUGUCUCUAACAUAUAAAAAUAAAAAUAAUGUAAAACUACAAAAAUUUUAGAAUAAGAUAGAGAAGAAAAUCUUCACCAACAAGGGCUAAAGAACUCUUAGACUUGACACCGAAAGCAUAAUACAUACAUGGAAAAAUUGUUAGGUUGGACCUUGUCAGAAUUAAAAACUUUUGCAUUGUAAAAGAUGCUGAUAUGAACAUAACAAUGCAAGUUACAGACUCGGAGAAAAUAUGUGCAAACCACAUAUCUAGCAAAGGACUUAUAUAUAGAAUAUAUAAAGAACUCUUAAAACCAAACCAUAAAAAAUAAAAGAUCCAAUUAAAACAUGGGCAAAAGACACAAAGAGACAUUUCACUGAAGAGGCUAUACAUAUGGUAUUUAAGCACAUGAGAAGAUAGUCAACAUUACUGGCCAUUAGGAAAAUGUAAAUUAAAUCUACAAUGAAAUAUCAGUAUACAUCUACGAGAAUGGCUACAUUUAAAAAUAGUGAUAAUGUCAAAUGUUGACGAGGUUGCAGAAAACUGGAUCAGUUGUACAUUGCUGCUGGGAAUGUAAAAUGGUAUAGUCACACUGGAAAAUAUAUCGACUACUUCUUGUAAAACCAAACACACUUAGAAUCCAGCAAUUACACUUUUGGACAUUUACCUUGGAGAAAUGAGAACUUAAAGUCACACAAAACACUUACAGAAAUGGUCAUGGCAACUUUAUUUGUAAUAGCCCCCAAACUGAAAACAACCCAAAUGUCCUUCAGUGGGUGAAUGUUAAACAAUCUUUGAUAUAUUCAUAUCAUGGAAUGCUACUCAAUAAGAAGAGCCAACUAUGGAUGGAUACAACUUGGAUGGGUUUCAAAGGAAUUACACUAUGUGAAAAAAAAAUCAAUCUUAAAGAAGUCACAUACUGUGUAAUUUCUUUAUGUAACAUUCCCAAAAUGGCAAAAUUAUAGAGAUGGGAAGCAGAUUAGUGGUUGCCAGGGGUUGAUGACUGCUGGUGGGGGAGUGAGGGGUAUGUGGGGUUAUUUAAGCAUAGAAUUGGUACAACUAUAUAUGUACACAGAGACGAGUGCAUGUAAAACUAAUGAAUAAGCUCUAUGGAUUGCACCAAUAUCAGUUUCCUGGUUGUAAUUUUGUAUUAAUGCAGUGUAAGAUGUUACCACUGGGGGAGAAUGAGACAAGAGUCAGAAAAGCUUCUCUGUACAUUUUUUGCAAUUUUCUCUGACUCUAUAACUACUUCACCAUAAAAAGUUAAGACUAAACUCUGCAAUAAAGCCAGAUGUUUAAAAGAUGUUGAGAAAUAUUGGCAUGAUGAAGAGCAAAGUCAGAACAAUGACAUGAAAUAAUAGCAGUCGUGUUGCAAGACUGAGCCUGAACGGACUUGAGGGUUUGGGUUUUGUUGAAGGUUGCUCUAGAGUAUGUUAAGGGUGGGAAGAAAGGAUGGUUAGGCUCACUACUGAGAGACAAUAGUUAGUGUUAAUUAAAACAAACAACAAUAAAAACCCUAACUUUUCUACCUGUAUUUUGUUUCAAACUUCUCUCUCAAGAAGAAUGUUCUUCAGACUGAAGUUGGUGGGAAGCCUGAAGUAGUUGAGAGAUUGGAGUAAGAGGUCCCAACAGGGCCAGAGGCAGAGCCCCAGACGCUUCAUCUUUGUGCGCUGAAAAUUCCAGGCAGGGACCUGGGCAGACAGGUGUGGGAUGAGAAGGACACUCUGGCCAGGAGAUAAAGCCACCAAUUUUCCUGCAUAGACAACUUCCAGCAAAGCCUGGGAGUGGAAAUGACUGAUCAACUUGGAAGAUGAUCCCAAGAGAACGUUCUAGACUAGGAAAUCAGAGCUCAUUUGUGGAAUGCAAGCCCACCCAUGACUUCAAAUGCUACAAAUUCUAGAAGAUUUUAAAAAUGCAUCACCUGUUGAAUGCUGAGUGAGAAAAUAAAGACAACAGAGUUGACUGAAUAUUACAGACCUGAGUUUAACCUAAGACAAACUAAUUAUGAAGCUAUGAACAUAUUUCAGUCAACAUGAAAUACAGAAUAUGUUUCCUGACCAGCACAUCAGUUAUAACAGAAAUCCCCUUAAAGAAUUUUAAAGAAGCUGUGUUUUGAAAACUGUCAUGCUUGGCUUCAGUUUUGUGGUCCCCUUUCAGUGCCCCUGUUUUGCGUUUUCAUUGUAUCACCCAACCUGUGUGUCAGAAUAAGACAUUCAUUAAAAAAAGGGGACAUUUAAUAAGCAUUGGCAUUUUUUCAAGGGAAAAUAUUUAAAUAUGAUUAAAACAAUAGUGAAGCUAAGAAAAACCUGACUAUAUGCUAAAAAUACAGCAUCUAUUAUUAGCAUUCCAGAAAUUCCAAAUUGAAGCACUCCAGACAGUAUUAGUGAUGAUUACGUGCAAAAUGCAGCAAUAAGCCAAACCUAGACUUUCUAUUGACUUGUCUAUUUUCGUAUCUCGCUAGCAGAAAGACUACAUUUCUGGUCAUUUCCAUUAUUGGGGAAUCGUACUUUACCAUUGAUUUCGAAAGGCUCCAUUGCAAUUUGGUGAAAAGCAGCU